Long non-coding RNA from Protopterus annectens (West African lungfish), 1850 nucleotides. RefSeq lists it as uncharacterized. The record is from RefSeq and is a predicted model, not a curated record. NCBI's taxonomy places the organism in Eukaryota, Metazoa, Chordata, Ceratodontiformes, Protopteridae. The transcript has 3 exons.
UUUAGCUGUGAAUUUAUUUUCGGAAGCUGCCUGCUGCCUGGGUGAAAGCUGCUGCUACUUAGAGGAUGGAGUCUGGACUGUUAUUUUCAGACUAUUCGUAAACUGAGUUGAUGCAGCAGGCUUAUGGUGAUUGUUUGGAAGGAAGCAAGUGGUUGAUGAAAAGAACAUCAGAUAACUUUCAAAAGACCCAGAAUGACAGACUAUAUCACAGGUCCUGCACCUCACUCUAACUGGCCUGUACUGGGAAGAAUGGACCUGCAUCUGACAUCUCCAAGCACAUUAGGUUUUCACUCUUGUGUACAACUGCAUUUUAACCAUAUAUCAUUUAAUCUAGUUUUCUUAUUAUUUUUCAUCAUUAGUUUAGGUGACACUGUAAAACUCCUCUGCCAAUCAUGAGCAGACAGAUUAUCUGCUGUGGCGAUCCCUAACCAGGAAAAGCCGAAAGAAGAAGAAGAAGUUUAAGUGGCACAAUAGCCUUUGUUCUCUUUAACAGGACUAUGCACAGUGAGAUGUUUUCCUCAUGGAUUCAUAGUUGGUUGCUACGCUACUGACCCCAGGAAACUUUUUUAAGCCAAGCCAUGCUUCCCAAGGUGGGGAUCAAAGUCUGUACUCUGUGUCUAUUAGGUAAACACUUUCACCAUUAUGCAACCUCCAACUAAUGGUUCCACUGGGGAUUGAACCCAGGACCUUCAAAGUGUGAAGCAAACAUGACAACCAGUACAUUACAGAACCCGCAGCUGAAGGUUAUAACUUCUAAAAGUUGAUACUGUUAACAUCUAUGGAGCUUUUUAUCAAUAACUUAACCACUACACAUAAAAUGUACCAGUAAAGCAGUCAGCUUAUUUGGGAUCUAUAUUUAUUUUUUGUAAGUUGAAAGCAGGGAUUUUAUCAUGCUGUAUUCUUAAAAUAUUGUUAAAACCACUGAGAACUGAACACUGACACAUUCAUUGUCAAAGUGAUGAAAAUAUCACAGUCCCAAAUGUUUUAAACAACUAUAAUGUUGCAUUCAUAACGUCAUUUUAAACAAUUCUGUAUCUGACAGUGCAUUUAUGCAACCCUGAGGGAGUGACUACUAUCCCUUUGUCCUCUGUUCCAAGACUACCAUCAGUCCUUGUCAGAGGAACUAUUGUGUUUCUUUUCAUGCAGACUGCACUUAUCUCCUUCUGGCAAUGCCAAGUAUAACUUGAUUUGUCAGAUGUCAGCAUUCUGAUAAAAUAUAAAAUAUACAAAAAUAUUUUGGCUGUCUAGUUAUUAUUCUACAAUCUUUUCACUGAAACUAAAUGAUCUGACAACUGCUCAUUAUUAUGAUAUUUGGCAACAUAAAAGCAAUUAAAAUUUAUUAAACAUAUAAUAUGGGGAGCUUUGACCCAUAUAUCCCUACUUUAUUAUAUAUUAUUAACUCAGUGUCCUUAUACAUUUGAAGAAAAGGUAAUGUUGACCAUCAUCUUAUCUGGAAUUUAUGAAGCUUUUGCUGAUGAGAAAAAAAAAAAAAGGCAGAUGGUCAGUUGAGAGAAUAUCUAUCAAAUAGAAGAAUAUGAGAUUAUUAUUAAGAAAAAUGCUUCUACAUUAAUGAAAAUCACUAUGUGUGCCAAAGGGCUCUUCUUAGGGUCCUUAUUGUUCAGCUUUUCAUGCCUUUUACACCACGCUGUCCAUGCUUAUGCUUGACGAGUAUGCAAAUGACUGCAGAUUAGAAUACACAUCCAAUGCAACUUACACUAUCAAGAACACAUAGGUAUUUCUGAUCAUCUGUCAAAUGAACAUUUAGUAAAGAUCUUCAGGGAGGGUGAAUGUUCAUAGGUUCAUAGAUUAGUACUAAGCUAGCUGCUCUUGCGAGCCAUUUUAAGCUUAGC